CUUGUAUUAUAAAAGAACUUCUAAAAGUGAGACAAUACAGAGACUAGCAUGACCCUUCUGUAAGGGUGACACAAUUUUGUAAAGCAUUCCACAUUUAA
Molecule: small nuclear RNA, 98 nt
Filed under: Neotoma lepida (desert woodrat)
Lineage: Eukaryota; Metazoa; Chordata; Mammalia; Rodentia; Cricetidae
Source: RNAcentral